RNAcentral lists this microRNA precursor (92 nucleotides) under Equus caballus (horse). RNAcentral describes it as "mir-544 microRNA precursor family". It matches the Rfam family "mir-544 microRNA precursor family". Lineage: Eukaryota; Metazoa; Chordata; Mammalia; Perissodactyla; Equidae. The record is from Rfam by way of RNAcentral.
AUCACCUGGGAAUCUUGCUAAACUGCAGAUUCUGAUUAGUAGGUCUAGAGCCUGUGAUUCUGCAUUUCUAACAAGCUCCCAGGUGAAGCCAG